Molecule: ribosomal RNA, 253 nt
Filed under: uncultured prokaryote
Description: partial 16S ribosomal RNA
Rfam family: Bacterial small subunit ribosomal RNA
Source: RNAcentral
UACAGAGGGUGCAAGCGUUAAUCGGAGUUACUGGGCGUAAAGGGCGCGUAGGCGGUUAUGUGAGUGUGAUGUGAAAGCCCUGGGCUUAACCUAGGAAGUGCAUCGCAAACGACAUGACUGGAGUAUAAGAGAGGGUGGCGGAAUUUCCGGUGUAGCGGUGAAAUGCGUAGAGAUCGGAAGGAACGUCAAUGGCGAAGGCAGCCACCUGGCUUAAUACUGACGCUGAGGCGCGAGAGCGUGGGGAGCGAACAGG